GAUGAAGAACGUAGCGAAAUGCGAUAAGUAAUGUGAAUUGCAGAAUUCAGUGAAUCAUCGAAUCUUUGAACGCACAUUGCGCCCGCCAGUAUUCUGGCGGGCAUGCCUGUCCGAGCGUCAUUUCAACCCUCGCGCCCAUCUGGGCUGCGGUGUUGGGGACCGGCCUGCCCCCCCGGGGCGCGCCGCCCCCCAAAUUCAGUGGCGGUCUCGCUGCAGCCUCCCUUGCGUAGUAGCACACCUCGCACCGGAGCGCAGCGCGGCCACGCCGUAAAACCCCCGACCCCCAUGAGUUUGACCUCGGAUCAGGUAGGAAUACCCGCUGAACUUAAGCAUAUCAUAAGCGGAGGA
This 348-nucleotide unclassified non-coding RNA is filed under the name soil metagenome. Its description in RNAcentral is "partial contains 5.8S ribosomal RNA, internal transcribed spacer 2, and large subunit ribosomal RNA". The stretch from base 1 to 120 matches the Rfam family "5.8S ribosomal RNA", at positions 35 to 154 of the family's 154-position model. The record is from RNAcentral.